AAGUUUGAUCAUGGCUCAGGACGAACGCUGGCGGCGUGCCUAAUACAUGCAAGUCGAGCGGACCGAAGGGAGCUUGCUCUUUUAGGUUAGCGGCGGACGGGUGAGUAACACGUGGGCAACCUGCCCUGCAGACUGGGAUAACUUCGGGAAACCGGAGCUAAUACCGGAUAACACCAAAACCGCAUGGUUUUCGGUUGAAAGGCGGCUUUUAGCUGUCACUGCAGGAUGGGCCCGCGGCGCAUUAGCUAGUUGGUGAGGUAACGGCUCACCAAGGCGACGAUGCGUAGCCGACCUGAGAGGGUGACCGGCCACACUGGGACUGAGACACGGCCCAGACUCCUACGGGAGGCAGCAGUAGGGAAUCUUCCGCAAUGGACGAAAGUCUGACGGAGCAACGCCGCGUGAGCGAAGAAGGUCUUCGGAUCGUAAGGCUCUGUUGUCAGGGAAGAACAAGUACCGUUCGAACAGGGCGGUACCUUGACGGUACCUGACGAGGAAGC
Molecule: ribosomal RNA, 500 nt
Filed under: uncultured bacterium
Lineage: Bacteria
Description: bacterial SSU rRNA
Rfam family: Bacterial small subunit ribosomal RNA
Source: RNAcentral